AUUGCAGGCGUGAGCCACAGCGCCUGGCCUGUAAUUAAUAAUUAUUUAUGGUAAACUUUUCCAGUUCAAAUUGCUAUGAAAUUUCUGCCCUGGAAAUGGUCCCAGGAGACAGACCUCCAAUUAUGACAUUUGGGGUAUAUUUUGGUUUACUCCUGUGCUUUGUUGCAGUGCUGAGCUUCUUACUAAUGGGAAAUGAGAUGCUAGGAAUCCAGGGCAUGUGUGGUAUCACAAUUAAUUAAUCAAACUAUUGCCUGUGGUAUAUUGUGACAAAGUGCCAACUGAAGCAAAUUCUUUAAGAGCCCAAGUGACUCUGCCCUUGACCCUAUGGCAAUAAUGAUUCUUAUAAGGAGCAUGGUGUGGGAUAGAUUUUUCUGAGUGCCCUUGAGCACUUACAGAGAAAAAAAAAUAAGCUCUCAGUUCAAUUCACAGCCUAAGGGCCAGAGAGCUACCAUGAGAACCAUAAAAGAAUAUUUAGUGCAGCCACAGGACUGAUAUUGCUAAAUUUGCACAAUAUUUACUUUGUGGGUUGAGUAAAUUACAACAGCAGUGAAAUUGACCAUUUCUCAUGUGAAAUUUAGGGUACCAAUUGAGAAAGAAUGAGAUCUGGACACUUGGAAUGGGGACAUAUAUUUGAACCAAAUGAAAUUGACAACCCUGAAUGGGCAAGCCACUCUGAGGCCUCCGUACCAGUAGAAGUUACUUGCUCUCCCAUGCCUGAAGAGACUAGCCUUCCUUUGCCUGCAAAUCUUGUAAUAACCUCACCUGUAGGAGAUGCCUUGCUAGGGUCUUAUGCCCCAAAGUAAUUCGUGUGAAGUAUAGCAUGCUCGAGAGGAACAGGUGUACACUAUACAGUAAAAAGACUACAUGGCAAAAGAACUGCAAGACCAUGCUAAUAUAUAACCAAUAGAAUCAUGAUGGGGUGGGACAUGUGUGGGAGUGGAUUCAACAGGCGUUAGGCCAAUAAGCAGAGAAUAUAACACUAGAUAAGGCUGAAUUCCUUGCUAUAGGAAACUAACUAGAGAUUUCAGAUUUGAUAUGUUAGCUUGUAAAGUUGCAGGUGACUCUAACAACUUACUUGGUUGAUUGACUGAAACUUGGACACCAAGAGUCCAGACAUUUUACUAGGUGGAGAUACCAGAGCCUACUGGUGAAGAUAAACCAGUCCAGCGUGAUAAAGCAUGGCACUAAGAAAUUCAUUCGUGAAGAAAGUUGAGCAGCUUUGCAGACCAGGUACUGUAAGGGAUUCUGCCAUUGGGAUGGAUUCCCUGAUUUCAACAGGGAUAAUGGGCUCUGGGGUAACAGAAAUCAAAAGAUAGCAUACAAUCACCAAGAACAAAGUGAGCAUAUCUAACUGGCAGGGAUGACUCGUAAUCAGAAUACUCUGGCCUGUAGAGAUCUUUGGCAGUGGCUACUGAACACUGUGUUCCCAGGAAUGAAAUACAUGAGUUGCCUAUCAGAGUUAUUGUUUUAUCUACCCAGUAGGAAAAAAAAAAAAAAAAAAAACCUCUAGAUAUGCAGCUAAAACCCUGACAUAAAUGGAAACAGCUUCUCACCUAUUUCCUAAAUCAAUCCACAGACACAGAGUCCCCUGAACGAAGGAGAAACUGGGUCCAUUUGUGAACGGCUGCACCAUAGCUACAAGUACAUACGGAAUGUUUUCUUGAAUCAGUCAUGCCAUCAGGGCCUCCUUGGCAAAACAUGGUCCCCCUGGAGUUAUGCCACACAGCGUGUCUGCCAUCACACCAGGGAUGCUGAGGCUGCACUGUGAGUCCUGCUCUUGAGUUCUCAGACCAUAUUUUUUAAAGAACAAGAGUUGGAAAACUAUGAUUCAUUGCCAAAUCUCACCGGCUACCAGUAUCUGUAAAUAAAAUAAAAUUGGAACAUAGCCACACUCAUUCAUUCAGGUGCCUGAGGAAGACUGCAUCGCUAGAGAAGCAGAGAAGCUGGCUUUGACUACUGAAGGCUGAUUCAUGUGUGUCAGACAGAAAUGGCAUGGAGAAGAGCAUGACAGAAAAAAGAAUUUAUGUUUGCACAUAGGCAAUAAAAUAUGAGGCAUGUUUGAAUAAGUUUAACAAGUCUACUGUGGUGAAGCAUAGGUAUAUUGCUGAGUCGAGAAGAUACAAAUGAAAAUCAAGAGGCCCAUUGGCCAAGACCGUACAAAUGUUCCUUACUCCAGGCUGAAGGGUUUAUUCUUUAUCCUAUAGGCAUCAAGAAGUAACAAAGCAUUCUUUUAAACCCCAGCAUGACACAGUAGAUUCUAUUUCCAUGAAGAUGAUUGUGCAGGCACAGUAUGAACCUGAAUUGAAAAGCAAGAAGAUUUGAUAAUUGAUAGAUGUUGGGAGAUGACAAAGGAGAAGGUGGUUUGGACAAAUCUUGGUCUCCUUCCCUGAGGGAUUGGAUAGAUUGUGAUGACAAUAACUGAGAUAAGGAGCACACACCAAAAAAAUAGCACAUUGGAGGGUAGAAAGAUAUUAAGUUUGAGGGAGAGUUAGACAGGGCUGUUCAUAAGAUUCAAAACGGUUAGAUUUUAAUGGUAGCAUGGGAAAAAGUUAGGACUGAAGUGUUGUGAAAACUAUGGAAUAGAUUGUAAUUGAAACCAUAAAGUUAGUUGUAUCAAGAAAGCAAUUAGAAAAAGAUAGAAACAUAGGUGAAAACAAGUUCAAUUUGCAGGUUUCAAAUCUCAACUUCAGCAGUAAUUGUAAAUUUUAAAAGCAGUUUCUUAUUAGCCAUCUAUUCAGUUAUGAAGAUUAGAGAGUUUUUCAAUCAGCACACUUGUAAUAGUUCUUCUAUUUAUAAUGCUAAUGGUGAUAAAUAAAAAUUUGCCUAAUGGCAAGACAUGUCGCGUUCACAUGACACGAGAGGACUCACCAAUGAAAAUAUUCCAAAUCCCUGGCAUUGAUUUUUUUCAGGUUUAAUGCAAUUUAAUUUGAAACCACAAAUGAGGUUAUUCUGGGAUUUUUUGACAGUGACUUCGUUUUACCUGAAAGAAUGAUUAGAUAAGAAUAAUUUGGAAAAUACUGCAAACAUGAGCACAUUAGAAAACAAAAUUACUGAAACAGUAUAGCAUUAGUACAAGAGUAGCCAAACAUUGCUAUAACAAGAGAGAAAAAUCCAGAAACAAACAAAAACAUGAUAAGAGAGGCAUUUCAAAUCCAUGGGAAAAUAAAGUAUUCAAUCUGUGCUGGGUCGAACACUAGAAAAAAAUAACAUUAAAUUCAUCCUCAUCCAACAUACCAAUUCUUUUUUAAUCCUUUUCCAAGAAAGAAAUGAUAGAAAUUUUGGUAGCUAAGACUACAUAAAAGCUAUUUAUUCUUGUAUGUUAAAGAAAACAGAAAUUAUUAAGUACCCAAUGGGGAAAAUAUUUGCACAGUGUAAAACCUACAAGGCAUUAAUAACCUUAAUGUAUACAGUUUCCUCAUGAUCAGUUAAAGAAAGGGAAAUUCUCCUUCAGAAAGAAAUGGAGUAAGAGACAUACACAAUUAAAAAAAAAAAAAAGAAAAUGAGCAAUAAAUAUUUCAAAACUAUUAAGUCUUACUAGCAAAUAUAAUUAUGCAAAUUAAAGCAAGCAAUAAUUUAUUUUACUGACAAAUAUGUAUGUAUAUAUUUAAUUUGAUUUUUCUGUGCAAGCAGAGUACAUGCAUGCUGGUUGUCCUCUCCAGUGACAGAAUCCCGGAGAAAAAACUGGCAUUCGCUAUCAGAAAUAUUUAAUUUGCAUAUUUUUUGACCUAGCAAGUAUCUUCCAUGUGUUUAUAUCAAUGUUAUUUUUCUAUUUCUUUGUGCAUUUCAUUAUAAAAUAUGUAUAUUUCCUAGAUACACAAAUAGAUUUCAUUUACAGUAGUCCCCCCUUAUCUACAUUCCGAGGCCCUCAGUGGAUACCUGAAACCUCAGAAAGUACUGAACCCUGUAUAUUUUAUGUUUUUUCCUAUACAUACAUAAGCGUGAUAAAGUUUAAUUUAUAAAUUAGGCACAGGAAGGAAUUAACAACUAAUAUAACAAAAACAAUAUAAAAAUAUGCCAGCAUUACUUGUGUCAGCGUGUUAAUAGUAACCCUUAUUCUACUUGUAAGGGUUACUAAGCAAAAUCGUGGUGCUUGUAUUCAAGUAGCCCUUAUUUUACUUAACAGUCUCAAAGUCCUUGUGCUUAGUCCCUGUGUUAUCAGUCCUCUCUGAUAACAAAAAUGGCCAAAUAAUUGACUAACAUGGGGGUAGUGUAUAUAGUAUAAAAAAGCUGAACUAAGGGAUAAUUUAUGUCCCAGGCAAGAUGAAGCAGGAUGGCACACAAUUUCAUCACACUAUUCAGAACAAUGUGCAAACAUGCAAUUUAAAAUCUAUGCAUUAUUUAUUUCUGGAAUUUUCCAUUUAGUAUUUUUGGACUGUUGUUGACCAUGGGUAACUGAAACUUGGGAAAACAAAACCACAAAUGCAGGGAACUACUAUAUUGUAAAAACCUUGAAACAUGCUCAUGAGCAAAGAAAAAAAAAAAAAAGGAAAAGAAAAAGAAAAAAGCUUUGUAAUCACCAACACCUUGAGGAAAAUUCAUGCUGACACUGAUUUUAUCAUGUAUUUCCCCCCAAAAUGGGGUCAUAAAAUGCUUUUUACCUACUUUUUUUCUCCCUUUAUUUAAUGUGGAAAUAAUGAAUAGAUAAAUAUAUUAUUGUUUUACUUCUGAGCAUAUUUUACCCUAUAGAUAUGAAAUAACUUGUUUAAACACAUUUAACAUUUUGGGGAUUCUUUUCAUAUUCUUAACAAGUCUAGCUAAAUCUUAUUGGAUAUAUCUCUUUGUAAACUUUUCAAUUAUUCCUAUUAAAAUUAUUAACUGUAGGAUUGUUUUAUCAAAGACUCGGAGAAUUUUUAAUGUAUAUUGCCAAUGAGCUACCACAAUGGUGGCCUCUAUUACACUUCUAUCUGCCUAUUUCUCAGCUUUUAAAAAAUAUCAUAACAUCACAUUUUUUAAAAAUGCUAGCAUUAUUCAUUUCAUAUGUACUUUUUUGAGAAGUGGUAAAGUUUUAUGUGCCUGUUCACUAAUAGUUUGUAUUUAUUCUCUUGAGAGUGUAAAUUUCAUAUCCUUAACUCUUUUUUUUUUUAAAUUGGGACUCAUGUUUUCCUUACUAAUAGUGAUGGUUAAUACUGAGUGUCAAGUUGAUUGGACUGAAGGAUACAAAGUAUUGAUGAUCCUGGGUGUGUCU
This is a long non-coding RNA of Cercocebus atys (sooty mangabey), 5185 nucleotides long. RefSeq lists it as uncharacterized. The record is from RefSeq and is a predicted model, not a curated record. NCBI's taxonomy places the organism in Eukaryota, Metazoa, Chordata, Mammalia, Primates, Cercopithecidae. The transcript has 4 exons.